UCUGUUUUGGUCACAGAAUGAGCUUCAGUCGAGCUGGAAGAAGGAUUUUUGUUUGGGUGAAAUGGAAUGAGUGAAUAAAUAGAAGGGAGAGCUAAUCUACUUGCAACAGAAGGAGAUGCUUACCUGAGAAGAAAAGGGAUCGUCUUCUCCUCUGUACAGCGCACAUACACACUCACAUUCUGUUUUCUGCACUCUUCUUCUCUUGGUUUUCAUUCUCUUCCCCUCGCUAGAUUCCUCUAAAUUCGACUCUCUCUCUCUGGUUUUCUGUUUGCUCGAAGCAAUGAAGAACUGAAGAAGGAAGCGGAAAGGAGGCAGCAUUUUAUAUCCCAUAUUGCAGCAUCCUUGGCCCUCGGAUGACAUGCAACGCAUCAGGGCCGUGGGAGGCUAUGGGUCACAGACAUGACUAAAAGGGAAGGCUGGUUUGCCAACAACUGGCGAGGGAAAAAAGAAGUUCGCCUGCAGGACUUUGGGUGCUGAAGUGAGUGGUGUCCCAUUGGCAGAACAGUCACGACGAGAGACUUACAUGCCCGUGAAUGAAAAAUCCUUCAAGGCUAGGAAGCCCGCGGCUUGCGGAAUUUUGGCAAGUAUGCCUGCGCGCAAGCCUUGCCCGAGGGAAAGGAAUGUCUCACGCAUAAGCUUU
This 640-nucleotide long non-coding RNA is filed under the name Carica papaya (papaya). RNAcentral describes it as "long non-coding RNA (CPAP_LNC014040)". Lineage: Eukaryota; Viridiplantae; Streptophyta; Magnoliopsida; Brassicales; Caricaceae. The record is from RNAcentral.